ACGCCGCGCUAUUGCUAUGCCACCAACCGUCCACUCCCACGCCACCCACCCGGAGCCAGAUCUAGAUCGAGACCCCCUCCACCGGCGGCCUCCCGUCCCUCCUUCCUCAACCUCAUCUCCUCUGUCAGAGCAACCGUUCCAAUCUUUGAGAUCUCAGCUCCCCCUCCCCCUCCUCCUCCACCCUCGUCUUGCCGCUGCUAAUCCUCCUGCUGCUGCUGCUGCUCGUGCAGGAGAGAGGAGGCCAUGACGCCAUCACCAUCGCCACCCUGGACAUGGACGUAGACAUGGGGGUGGAGGCGACGCAGAUGGGCGCGGAACCGGCGGCGCACGGGCGGCUGCUGUGGGCGACCGGCGGCGGGCGGAGGUACAUCAGCUACGACGCGCUACGGGGGACGUUGUGUUGUGCUCCCGGCCAGGGGUGCCCUACUACAACUGCCGCAUCAGCACCACCGCCAACCCCUACACCCGCGGCUGCGAGUCCAUCACCCACUGUCGCGAGGACGACCCUUCCUAGGUUGUAAACAGAAUCCAGAAAUUACGGAAGACUACUCAGCUUGAACCUACAGACUUAAUUGAUGUUUACUACGAGUCUGUAGACAACAGCAGCAAUACACUUGAAGAAAUUUUGCAGUCACAGGAUCAGUGUAUUAGGGACGUGCUUGGUAAUUCACUAGUUCCAAAGGCAGCGGCAACAUCAGAUAUGGAGUAGGAGGCACUACUGAACUUUGCAGCGAUGCUGAAGCAACGGAUGACACCAGAAACAAACUGUCACUAGUUUCCAGUUUGAUGCUGAAUUAUGAAUGAAUGCCUAGACAAAGUUGGAUUUCGUGUUGCUGACCGACUGCUGCUUGGGCCCUUCGCGUGGCGUCGUCUCUUCCUUUCACGAAGUUUGUUCUUUACGUAUUCUGACUAGUGGUUUACUAUCUCUCUACAUAGUUUCUUAGAUGGAAACCUCAUAGAGUAGUUAGUGUACAGCCAGAGUCCAGUAUCAUAUCUCAAUCUUGAAUAAAGCAUUUGAAUUUAAGCUAGUAGAUAUUGAGCUUUGUGAUUGAAGUGUCUGUUGAAUACAUCUAAUCUGAACAAUUUCACAUUUGCUUCUCUGAUAAGUAAGGUUUGUUUUCAUUUACAAGUAGAAGAUAGUGAUAGAGUUUGAAGGUAUGUGCAAAGAUCUUCUCCUCCGUCGCCGUCCGCGACAAAGCUGUUGGGUGCAUCCGUCCAUCAUCUUUAGAUCUGAGUGAAGAGGGCAUCCGUCCAUCUCAAAAGGAUGUGGAUGACCAUCUGAUGCUAUGCAGGUUUCUUCCCAAACUUAACGAUGAGAUACUAGGUGAAAGAAAUGCUCUCUACAAGGAAAGGUUGAGCAGCCUAGAGAAUUUAGUACUGAUCAUGAGGUGAUCGACGCAGACUACCGCGACCCGGUGGGCGUCGUGCUCUUCAACAACUCGGAGGCGGAUUUUGCUGUGAAGCCCGGCGACCGCGUCACACAGAUGAUUGUCUAGGUGAUUGCGAUGCCGAAGCUCGCCGAGGUGGAGGACCUUGACGUCACCGUCUGGAGGUCAUCGAGGUGGAGGACCUCGACGCCAUCGUCUCGAGGUUGCCGAGGUGGAGGACCUCGACGCCACCGUCUCGAGGUUGCCAAGGUGAAGGACCUCGACGCCUUGGUAGAUACAUCUAGAGAAGUGGUCAUGUUAGGUUGGUGGUGGAACGCUAGGGAAGGUACCCACCUUUUGGUGACGGUUGUGUGCGUCUGAUGUAUAAAUGGUAUCUCGUGAUUAGAUGUUCAAUGUUGUAUCCAUGAAUGUUGCAAGUGCUAAGAUGGUUCUGUGACAUUUUAUUUUGCCU
Long non-coding RNA from Triticum dicoccoides, 1839 nucleotides. RefSeq lists it as uncharacterized. The transcript is spliced from 6 exons. Lineage: Eukaryota; Viridiplantae; Streptophyta; Magnoliopsida; Poales; Poaceae. The record is from RefSeq and is a predicted model, not a curated record.